RNAcentral lists this ribosomal RNA (301 nucleotides) under uncultured bacterium. RNAcentral's name for it is "partial 16S ribosomal RNA". It matches the Rfam family "Bacterial small subunit ribosomal RNA", at positions 509 to 807 of the family's 1533-position model. The record is from RNAcentral.
CAGUCGCCACGGUAAUACGGAGGGGGCUAGCGUUGUUCGGAAUUACUGGGCGUAAAGCGUACGUAGGCGGCUUUCUAAGUCAGGGGUGAAAGCCUGGAGCUCAACUCCAGAAUUGCCCUUGAGACUGGAUCGCUUGAACGUCGGAGAGGUGAGUGGAAUUCCGAGUGUAGAGGUGAAAUUCGUAGAUAUUCGGAAGAACACCAGUGGCGAAGGCGGCUCACUGGACGACUGUUGACGCUGAGGUACGAAAGCGUGGGGAGCAAACAGGAUUAGAUACCCCGGUAGUCCCUGUCUCUUAUAC